RNAcentral lists this ribosomal RNA (253 nucleotides) under uncultured bacterium. RNAcentral describes it as "partial 16S ribosomal RNA". It matches the Rfam family "Bacterial small subunit ribosomal RNA", at positions 524 to 776 of the family's 1533-position model. The record is from RNAcentral.
UACGUAGGGGGCAAGCGUUGUCCGGAAUCAUUGGGCGUAAAGCGCGCGUAGGCGGCCCGGUAAGUCCGUUGUGAAAGUCAAAGGCUCAACCUUUGAACGCCGAUGGAUACUGCCGGGCUAGAGUCCGGAAGAGGCGAGUGGAAUUCCUGGUGUAGCGGUGGAAUGCGCAGAUAUCAGGAGGAACACCAAUAGCGAAGGCAGCUCGCUGGAACGGUACUGACGCUGAGGCGCGAAAGCGUGGGGAGCGAACAGG